RNAcentral lists this ribosomal RNA (926 nucleotides) under Collemopsidium sp. B IGB-2016. RNAcentral describes it as "SSU rRNA". It matches the Rfam family "Eukaryotic small subunit ribosomal RNA", at positions 129 to 1064 of the family's 1831-position model. Lineage: Eukaryota; Fungi; Ascomycota; Collemopsidiomycetes; Collemopsidiales; Xanthopyreniaceae. The record is from RNAcentral.
ACCUUACUACAUGGAUAACCGUGGUAAUUCUAGAGCUAAUACAUGCCAAAAACCCCGACUCACGAAGGGGUGUAUUUAUUAGAUAAAAAACCGACGCCCUUCGGGGCUCACCGGUGAUUCAUGAUAACUUCGCGAAUCGCAUGGCCUUGCGCCGGCGAUGGUUCAUUCAAAUUUCUGCCCUAUCAACUUUCGAUGGUAGGAUAGUGGCCUACCAUGGUGUCGACGGGUGACGGGGAAUUAGGGUUCGAUUCCGGAGAGGGAGCCUGAGAAACGGCUACCACAUCCAAGGAAGGCAGCAGGCGCGCAAAUUACCCAAUCCCGACACGGGGAGGUAGUGACAAUAAAUACCGAUGCAGGGCUCUUAUGGGUCUUGUAAUUGGAAUGAGUACAAUUUAAAUCCCUUAACGAGGAACAAUUAGAGGGCAAGUCUGGUGCCAGCAGCCGCGGUAAUUCCAGCUCUAAUAGCGUAUAUUAAAGUUGUUGCAGUUAAAAAGCUCGUAGUUGAACCUUGGGCCUGGCUGGCCGGUCCGCCUCACCGCGUGCACUGGUCCGGCCGGGCCUUUCCUUCUGGGGAUCCGCAUGCCCUUCACUGGGCGUGUCGGGGAACCAGGACUUUUACUUUGAAAAAAUUAGAGUGUUCAAAGCAGGCCUUUGCUCGAAUACAUUAGCAUGGAAUAAUAGAAUAGGACGAGCGGUCCUAUUUUGUUGGUUUCUAGGACCGCCGUAAUGAUUAAUAGGGAUAGUCGGGGGCAUCGGUAUUCAGUUGUCAGAGGUGAAAUUCUUGGAUUUACUGAAGACCAACUACUGCGAAAGCAUUUGCCAAGGAUGUUUUCAUUAAUCAGUGAACGAAAGUUAGGGGAUCGAAGACGAUCAGAUACCGUCGUAGUCUUAACCAUAAACCAUGCCGACUAGGAUCGGCGACUUUC